AAGUCGUAACAAGGUAUCCGUAGGUGAACCUGCGGAUGGAUCAUUACCAAAGAUCUCCUAUACGUACUGUGAACUGUCUUGAACUGGGCCUCUGGCCCUUUAUACGUACACUCAAACUAUAGUUAAGUUGCUUAAAACACAAACAACUUUUAGCAAUGGAUCUCUAGGCUCUC
RNAcentral lists this unclassified non-coding RNA (173 nucleotides) under fungal sp. Its description in RNAcentral is "partial internal transcribed spacer region". The stretch from base 1 to 46 matches the Rfam family "Eukaryotic small subunit ribosomal RNA", at positions 1786 to 1831 of the family's 1831-position model. The record is from RNAcentral. Lineage: Eukaryota; Fungi.